Molecule: transfer RNA, 115 nt
Filed under: Candidatus Woesearchaeota archaeon
Lineage: Archaea; Nanobdellati; Candidatus Woesearchaeota
Description: tRNA-Ile
Source: RNAcentral
GCCGCGGCCGCUCAACCUGGUGGAGCGGAAGGCCGAUACCCUUCUGCCAGUGAUGGCAUCCGGGUUCAAAUCCUUAGUCGGAUUUCCUUCUUGGGUGAGACUCCCAGCCGCGGCG